RNAcentral lists this ribosomal RNA (482 nucleotides) under uncultured bacterium. Its description in RNAcentral is "partial 16S ribosomal RNA". It matches the Rfam family "Bacterial small subunit ribosomal RNA", at positions 30 to 507 of the family's 1533-position model. The record is from RNAcentral.
AUUGAACGCUGGCGGCAUGAUUUACACAUGCAAGUCGAACGGUAACAGGCCGCAAGGUGCUGACGAGUGGCGAACGGGUGAGUAAUGCAUCGGAACGUGCCCAGUCGUGGGGGAUAACUACUCGAAAGAGUAGCUAAUACCGCAUACGAUCUAUGGAUGAAAGCGGGGGACCGUAAGGCCUCGCGCGAUUGGAGCGGCCGAUGUCAGAUUAGGUAGUUGGUGGGGUAAAGGCUCACCAAGCCAACGAUCUGUAGCUGGUCUGAGAGGACGACCAGCCACACUGGGACUGAGACACGGCCCAGACUCCUACGGGAGGCAGCAGUGGGGAAUUUUGGACAAUGGGCGCAAGCCUGAUCCAGCAAUGCCGCGUGCAGGAUGAAGGCCUUCGGGUUGUAAAAUGCUUUUGUACGGAACGAAACGGCUCUGGUUAAUACCCGGGGCUAAUGACGGUACCGUAAGAAUAAGCAACGGCUAACUACGUG